RNAcentral lists this ribosomal RNA (493 nucleotides) under uncultured bacterium. RNAcentral describes it as "bacterial SSU rRNA". It matches the Rfam family "Bacterial small subunit ribosomal RNA", at positions 30 to 507 of the family's 1533-position model. The record is from RNAcentral.
AUUGAACGCUGGCGGCAGGCCUAACACAUGCAAGUCGAGCGGCAGCGGGAAAGUAGCUUGCUACUUUUGCCGGCGAGCGGCGGACGGGUGAGUAAUGCCUGGGGAUCUGCCCAGUCGAGGGGGAUAACAGUUGGAAACGACUGCUAAUACCGCAUACGCCCUACGGGGGAAAGCAGGGGAUCGCAAGACCUUGCGCUGAUUGAGCGGCCGAUAUCAGAUUAGCUAGUUGGUGAGGUAAAAGCUCACCAAGGCGACGAUCUGUAGCGGGGUCUGAGAGGAUGAUCCGCCACACUGGAACUGAGACACGGUCCAGACUCCUACGGGAGGCAGCAGUGGGGAAUUUUGGACAAUGGGGGCAACCCUGAUCCAGCCAUGCCGCGUGAGUGAAGAAGGCCUUCGGGUUGUAAAGCUCUUUCAGCCGGGAAGAAAAUGCGUGGGUUAAUACCCUGUGCAGAUGACGGUACCGGAAUAAGAAGCACCGGCUAACUACGUG